Molecule: ribosomal RNA, 253 nt
Filed under: uncultured bacterium
Lineage: Bacteria
Description: partial 16S ribosomal RNA
Rfam family: Bacterial small subunit ribosomal RNA
Source: RNAcentral
UACAGAGGUCUCAAGCGUUGUUCGGAUUCAUUGGGCGUAAAGGGUGUGUAGGUGGCGCCGUAAGUCGGAUGUGAAAUCUCGGAGCUCAACUCCGAAAUGGCAUUGGAAACUACCUUGCUCGAGGGUUGGAGGGGGGACUGGAAUACUUGGUGUAGCAGUGAAAUGCGUAGAUAUCAAGUGGAACACCAGUGGCGAAGGCGAGUCCCUGGACAACUCCUGACACUGAGGCACGAAAGCUAGGGGAGCAAACAGG